RNAcentral lists this ribosomal RNA (253 nucleotides) under uncultured bacterium. Its description in RNAcentral is "partial 16S ribosomal RNA". It matches the Rfam family "Bacterial small subunit ribosomal RNA", at positions 524 to 776 of the family's 1533-position model. The record is from RNAcentral.
UACAGGGGGGGCAAGCGUUGUUCGGAAUUACUGGGCGUAAAGGGUCUGUAGGUGGCUUGCUAAGUCAGACGUGAAAUCCCUCAGCUUAACUGGGGAACUGCGUCUGAUACUGGCGAGCUUGAGUGCAGGAGAGGAACGCGGAAUUCCAGGUGUAGCGGUGAAAUGCGUAGAUAUCUGGAGGAACACCGGUGGCGAAGGCGGCGUUCUGGACUGCAACUGACACUGAGAGACGAAAGCCAGGGGAGCAAACGGG